Molecule: non-coding RNA, 46 nt
Organism: Ictidomys tridecemlineatus (thirteen-lined ground squirrel)
Lineage: Eukaryota; Metazoa; Chordata; Mammalia; Rodentia; Sciuridae
Source: Rfam
UUUAUGGAGUUAUUUAACUCCAUAAAUACUUAAAUUAAUGUAGCAU